Long non-coding RNA from Mastomys coucha (southern multimammate mouse), 1319 nucleotides. RefSeq lists it as uncharacterized. NCBI's taxonomy places the organism in Eukaryota, Metazoa, Chordata, Mammalia, Rodentia, Muridae. The transcript has 3 exons. The record is from RefSeq and is a predicted model, not a curated record.
ACUGUUCUACUCCUAGAUCGGUGCCUUACUCAACUUGAGAGAACUACUCUCAGAUAAGAACAUGGAGAUCCAUGGCAUAUGAAAAGAGUGAGAGACUUUGGAGUACCCAGUCGUAAAUAUGAUGUCUUUGUCAAACCCUUCCCCUCAUGGCUCAGGGAUCUAUACAGAAGAAGAGGCACAUUUCAAGAACCAGAGGCUAUGUAUGACUCAGAGGAAAAUGUCUUUCAGACACAACAGGACUGUUGCACAUAUAAACUCACAGAGACUGUGGCAGCAUGCCAAAGUCCUACAGAGAUUCAAGCUAGAGAAGAGGCUGAACAUAGACUCCCCACACCUAACUAAGAAACUCUCUGCAUUGAUGUUCACUGGCAAGAAAGAAAUUAGUGUUCCCCAAUGCACUGUCACUGGGUGUAUCAACCACAACUGAAGUAGAGCAUCAGUUUCACUUUACCAGUGUGGGCUGCUUCUCCAACCUCCUCAUUAUUACUUUUCCUCCUUGGCAUUUACAGUUCCCAGACAGAAUCAUGUAGUCCUCUGAGAAGCUCCAUCCAGAAGCUGACUCAGACUGAUACAGACACCCACAGCCAAACAGUGGAUAGAGCUUGGGGACUCUUAUGGAAGAAUAAGAGGAAGGAUUGUUGGCCCUGAAGGGAAUAAGAACUACACAGAAGACCAACAUAAUCAGCUAACCUGGACCUUUGGGAGUCCCAGAGAGACUGAACGACCAACAAAAGAACAUAUAUGGGAUGGACCUGGACUUCCCUAUUCAUACGUGGCAGUGGCAGAUGUUCAGCUUAGUCUUCAUGUGGGUCCUGAACAACUGAAACAGGGACUAUCCCUAAAGCUGUUCCCUGUCUGUGAGAUAUGUUCUGCUAGCUAGGCUGCCUUGUCAGGCCUCAGUGGGAGAGGAAGUGCAUAACCUUACAGAGACUUGAAGUGUCUGGGUUGGGGAGUAUACUCAGGAGGGGACCCCACUCACUCAAAGGAGAAAGGAAGAUGUGAUGGGGGAAGGAUUGUGGGAGGGGAUUCCUGGGAUUCGAGGCACUGAGUGGUGUGUAAAGUGAAUAAGUAAAAAAAUAAAAUUAAAUUUAAAAAAAUAAUUUUAUUUUUAAAAAGAAUUUUCUCCUCGGUAAGCUUUGCUUCUCUAUACACAUGAAUUCUUUACAGAGUUGUUUCAAAUGUUUUGGAGCAUUGCUUAUAUAUUUCAGUUAUGAGCCAUAAAGAAUGGCUCUAAUAAAAUGAUGGUGUGAAAAUAGAUUAGCACUAGUCAAGGACUGACUGUUAAACUUUCUAAACUUUCAUUAAAUGCUCAUAUGCAC